GAUGAACGCUGGCGGCGUGCCUAAUACAUGCAAGUCGAGCGAACAGACGAGGAGCUUGCUCCUCUGACGUUAGCGGCGGACGGGUGAGUAACACGUGGAUAACCUACCUAUAAGACUGGGAUAACUUCGGGAAACCGGAGCUAAUACCGGAUAAUAUAUUGAACCGCAUGGUUCAAUAGUGAAAGACGGUUUUGCUGCCACUUAUAGAUGGAUCCGCGCCGCAUUAGCUAGUUGGUAAGGUAACGGCUUACCAAGGCGACGAUGCGUAGCCGAACUGAGAGGGUGAUCGGCCACACUGGAACUGAGACACGGUCCAGACUCCUACGGGAGGCAGCAGUAGGGAAUCUUCCGCAAUGGGCGAAAGCCUGACGGAGCUAUUCCGCGUGAGUGAUGAAGGUCUUCUGAUCGUAAAACUCUGUUAUUAGGGAAGAACAAAUGUGUAAGUAACUUUGCACGUCUUGACGGUACCUUAUCAGAAAGCCACGGCUAACUACUUG
Molecule: ribosomal RNA, 497 nt
Filed under: uncultured bacterium
Lineage: Bacteria
Description: partial 16S ribosomal RNA
Rfam family: Bacterial small subunit ribosomal RNA
Source: RNAcentral